AACGAACGCUGGCGGCAUGCCUAACACAUGCAAGUCGAACGAGACCUUCGGGUCUAGUGGCGCACGGGUGCGUAACGGGGGGGAACCUGCCCUUAGGUUUGGAAUAACUCCCCGAAUGGGGUGCUAAUACCGGAUCAUAUAUUCGAUCCAAAGAUUUAUCGCCUUUGGAUGGGCCGGCGUUGGAUUGGCUAGUUGUUAGCGUAAAAGCCUACAACUGCUACGAUCCAUAGCUGGGUUGAGAGGCUGAUCAGCGACACUGGGAGUGGGAAACGGCCGGGAAUCCUACGGGAGGCAGCAGUGGGGAAUACAGGAAAAUGGGCGAAAGCAUGAAGCAGCAAUGCCGGGUGAGUGAUGAAGGCCUUAGGGUAGUAAAGCUCGUUUAUCCGGGAUGAUAAUGACGGUACCGGGAGAAUAAGCACCGGCUAACUCCGUG
This 433-nucleotide ribosomal RNA is filed under the name uncultured bacterium. RNAcentral describes it as "partial 16S ribosomal RNA". It matches the Rfam family "Bacterial small subunit ribosomal RNA", at positions 29 to 507 of the family's 1533-position model. The record is from RNAcentral.